Molecule: ribosomal RNA, 408 nt
Filed under: uncultured bacterium
Lineage: Bacteria
Description: partial 16S ribosomal RNA
Rfam family: Bacterial small subunit ribosomal RNA
Source: RNAcentral
GACGAACGCUGGCGGCGUGCUUAACACAUGCAAGUCGAACGAAGUGGCGAACGGGUGAGUAACGCGUAAUCAACCUGCCCUUCAGAGGGGGACAACAGUUGGAAACGACUGCUAAUACCGCAUACUGAAGGUGGGGAUUGCGUCGGAUUAGCUAGUUGGAGGGGUAACGGCCCACCAAGCCGAUGAUCAGUAGCCGGUCUGGGGAGAUGAACGGCCACAUUGGGACUGGAGCACGGCCCAGACUCCUACGGGAAGGAACAGUGGGGGAACUUCCGAAAUGGACGGAAGUCUGGCGGAGCAACUCCGCGUGAGAGAUGACGGCCUUCGGGUUGUAAAGGUCUGUUAAUCGGGACGCGGUACCGGAAUAGAAAGCCACGGCUAACUACGUGCCAGCAGCCGCGGUAAUAC